This 2904-nucleotide ribosomal RNA is filed under the name Escherichia coli. RNAcentral's name for it is "bacterial LSU rRNA". It matches the Rfam family "Bacterial large subunit ribosomal RNA". Lineage: Bacteria; Pseudomonadati; Pseudomonadota; Gammaproteobacteria; Enterobacterales; Enterobacteriaceae. The record is from RNAcentral.
UUAAGCGACUAAGCGUACACGGUGGAUGCCCUGGCAGUCAGAGGCGAUGAAGGACGUGCUAAUCUGCGAUAAGCGUCGGUAAGGUGAUAUGAACCGUUAUAACCGGCGAUUUCCGAAUGGGGAAACCCAGUGUGUUUCGACACACUAUCAUUAACUGAAUCCAUAGGUUAAUGAGGCGAACCGGGGGAACUGAAACAUCUAAGUACCCCGAGGAAAAGAAAUCAACCGAGAUUCCCCCAGUAGCGGCGAGCGAACGGGGAGCAGCCCAGAGCCUGAAUCAGUAUGUGUGUUAGUGGAAGCGUCUGGAAAGGCGCGCGAUACAGGGUGACAGCCCCGUACACAAAAAUGCACAUGCUGUGAGCUCGAUGAGUAGGGCGGGACACGUGGUAUCCUGUCUGAAUAUGGGGGGACCAUCCUCCAAGGCUAAAUACUCCUGACUGACCGAUAGUGAACCAGUACCGUGAGGGAAAGGCGAAAAGAACCCCGGCGAGGGGAGUGAAAAAGAACCUGAAACCGUGUACGUACAAGCAGUGGGAGCACAGAGCAAUCUGUGUGACUGCGUACCUUUUGUAUAAUGGGUCAGCGACUUAUAUUCUGUAGCAAGGUUAACCGAAUAGGGGAGCCGAAGGGAAACCGAGUCUUAACUGGGCGUUAAGUUGCAGGGUAUAGACCCGAAACCCGGUGAUCUAGCCAUGGGCAGGUUGAAGGUUGGGUAACACUAACUGGAGGACCGAACCGACUAAUGUUGAAAAAUUAGCGGAUGACUUGUGGCUGGGGGUGAAAGGCCAAUCAAACCGGGAGAUAGCUGGUUCUCCCCGAAAGCUAUUUAGGUAGCGCCUCGUGAAUUCAUCUCCGGGGGUAGAGCACUGUUUCGGCAAGGGGGUCAUCCCGACUUACCAACCCGAUGCAAACUGCGAAUACCGGAGAAUGUUAUCACGGGAGACACACGGCGGGUGCUAACGUCCGUCGUGAAGAGGGAAACAACCCAGACCGCCAGCUAAGGUCCCAAAGUCAUGGUUAAGUGGGAAACGAUGUGGGAAGGCCCAGACAGCCAGGAUGUUGGCUUAGAAGCAGCCAUCAUUUAAAGAAAGCGUAAUAGCUCACUGGUCGAGUCGGCCUGCGCGGAAGAUGUAACGGGGCUAAACCAUGCACCGAAGCUGCGGCAGCGACGCUGAUGCGUUGUUGGGUAGGGGAGCGUUCUGUAAGCCUGUGAAGGUGUGCUGUGAGGCAUGCUGGAGGUAUCAGAAGUGCGAAUGCUGACAUAAGUAACGAUAAAGCGGGUGAAAAGCCCGCUCGCCGGAAGACCAAGGGUUCCUGUCCAACGUUAAUCGGGGCAGGGUGAGUCGACCCCUAAGGCGAGGCCGAAAGGCGUAGUCGAUGGGAAACAGGUUAAUAUUCCUGUACUUGGUGUUACUGCGAAGGGGGGACGGAGAAGGCUAUGUUGGCCGGGCGACGGUUGUCCCGGUUUAAGCGUGUAGGCUGGUUUUCCAGGCAAAUCCGGAAAACUAAGGCUGAGGCGUGAUGACGAGGCACUACGGUGCUGAAGCAACAAAUGCCCUGCUUCCAGGAAAAGCCUCUAAGCAUCAGGUAACAUCAAAUCGUACCCCAAACCGACACAGGUGGUCAGGUAGAGAAUACCAAGGCGCUUGAGAGAACUCGGGUGAAGGAACUAGGCAAAAUGGUGCCGUAACUUCGGGAGAAGGCACGCUGAUAUGUAGGUGAAGUCCCUCGCGGAUGGAGCUGAAAUCAGUCGAAGAUACCAGCUGGCUGCAACUGUUUAUUAAAAACACAGCACUGUGCAAACACGAAAGUGGACGUAUACGGUGUGACGCCUGCCCGGUGCCGGAAGGUUAAUUGAUGGGGUCAGCGCAAGCGAAGCUCUUGAUCGAAGCCCCGGUAAACGGCGGCCGUAACUAUAACGGUCCUAAGGUAGCGAAAUUCCUUGUCGGGUAAGUUCCGACCUGCACGAAUGGCGUAAUGAUGGCCAGGCUGUCUCCACCCGAGACUCAGUGAAAUUGAACUCGCUGUGAAGAUGCAGUGUACCCGCGGCAAGACGGAAAGACCCCGUGAACCUUUACUAUAGCUUGACACUGAACAUUGAGCCUUGAUGUGUAGGAUAGGUGGGAGGCUUUGAAGUGUGGACGCCAGUCUGCAUGGAGCCGACCUUGAAAUACCACCCUUUAAUGUUUGAUGUUCUAACGUUGACCCGUAAUCCGGGUUGCGGACAGUGUCUGGUGGGUAGUUUGACUGGGGCGGUCUCCUCCUAAAGAGUAACGGAGGAGCACGAAGGUUGGCUAAUCCUGGUCGGACAUCAGGAGGUUAGUGCAAUGGCAUAAGCCAGCUUGACUGCGAGCGUGACGGCGCGAGCAGGUGCGAAAGCAGGUCAUAGUGAUCCGGUGGUUCUGAAUGGAAGGGCCAUCGCUCAACGGAUAAAAGGUACUCCGGGGAUAACAGGCUGAUACCGCCCAAGAGUUCAUAUCGACGGCGGUGUUUGGCACCUCGAUGUCGGCUCAUCACAUCCUGGGGCUGAAGUAGGUCCCAAGGGUAUGGCUGUUCGCCAUUUAAAGUGGUACGCGAGCUGGGUUUAGAACGUCGUGAGACAGUUCGGUCCCUAUCUGCCGUGGGCGCUGGAGAACUGAGGGGGGCUGCUCCUAGUACGAGAGGACCGGAGUGGACGCAUCACUGGUGUUCGGGUUGUCAUGCCAAUGGCACUGCCCGGUAGCUAAAUGCGGAAGAGAUAAGUGCUGAAAGCAUCUAAGCACGAAACUUGCCCCGAGAUGAGUUCUCCCUGACUCCUUGAGAGUCCUGAAGGAACGUUGAAGACGACGACGUUGAUAGGCCGGGUGUGUAAGCGCAGCGAUGCGUUGAGCUAACCGGUACUAAUGAACCGUGAGGCUUAACCUU